Molecule: ribosomal RNA, 465 nt
Filed under: uncultured bacterium
Lineage: Bacteria
Description: partial 16S ribosomal RNA
Rfam family: Bacterial small subunit ribosomal RNA
Source: RNAcentral
CCUACGGGGCGCUGCAGUGGGGAAUAUUGCGCAAUGGGCGAAAGCCUGACGCAGCGACGCCGCGUGAGGGAUGAAGGUCUUCGGAUCGUUAACCUCUGUCAGCAGGGAAGAACGGUCACUGUGCUAAUCAGCAGUGAAUUGACGGUACCUGCAAAGGAAGCACCGGCUAACUCCGUGCCAGCAGCCGCGGUAAUACGGAGGGUGCGAGCGUUAAUCGGAAUUACUGGGCGUAAAGCGCUCGUAGGCGGUAUGUCAAGUCAAGGGUGAAAUCCCCGCGCUCAACGUGGGAACUGCCUUUGAAACUGGCAAACUGGAGUGUGUGAGAGGAUAGUGGAAUUCCAGGUGUAGGAGUGAAAUCCGUAGAUAUCUGGAGGAACAUCAGUGGCGAAGGCGACUAUCUGGCACAUAACUGACGCUGAGGAGCGAAAGCGUGGGUAGCAAACAGGAUUAGAUACCCGAGUAGUC